This 422-nucleotide long non-coding RNA is filed under the name Bos taurus (domestic cattle). Its description in RNAcentral is "long non-coding RNA NONBTAT024972". Lineage: Eukaryota; Metazoa; Chordata; Mammalia; Artiodactyla; Bovidae. The record is from RNAcentral.
UGAAAAUGAAUCUUCACAUAGAAGAAAUGGAUGGAGAGUUUAAAUUUGAUACUAAACCUUUUGUAUAAAAUAUUGUUAUAAAUGAUCUAUAUAUUCAGACUGAAAUAUAAAGCUUUUAAAAUUGUUAAUAAAUAACCAGUACACUAGAGAACCAGAUUACAUAUUCUGACAAUUCCUGAGUGGCUUGAGUGUUGUGUCUUUAAGCACCAUGUAUGAGAAUUAAGUUUGCAUAUCUGUUUAGUGCCAUGUAUAAACGUCUGUGACUGUUGGUAUAAGCUUCAUCUUUGAUGCUAUCACACAGGUCUUUGUAUUAUCAGAAAACUUUAUAAGAGGAUUAUUAUUUAUAUAAAAAUGUUAAUGCAAAAUUAAGAGAAAAUGAAAGAAAUCAGUUGAGGACAUGCAGGUGCCAAAAGGUAAUACUA